AUUGAACGCUGGCGGCAGGCCUAACACAUGCAAGUCGAGCGGAUGAAGGGAGCUUGCUCCUGGAUUCAGCGGCGGACGGGUGAGUAAUGCCUAGGAAUCUGCCUGGUAGUGGGGGAUAACGUCCGGAAACGGGCGCUAAUACCGCAUACGUCCUGAGGGAGAAAGUGGGGGAUCUUCGGACCUCACGCUAUCAGAUGAGCCUAGGUCGGAUUAGCUAGUUGGUGGGGUAAAGGCCUACCAAGGCGACGAUCCGUAACUGGUCUGAGAGGAUGAUCAGUCACACUGGAACUGAGACACGGUCCAGACGCCUAAGGGAGGCAGCAGUGGGGAAUAUUGGACAAUGGGCGAAAGCCUGAUCCAGCCAUGGCGCGUGUGUGAAGAAGGUCUUCGGAUUGUAAAGCACUUUAAGUUGGGAGGAAGGGCAGUAAGUUAAUACCUUGCUGUUUUGACGUUACCAACAGAAUAAGCACCGGCUAACUUCGUG
Molecule: ribosomal RNA, 484 nt
Filed under: uncultured bacterium
Lineage: Bacteria
Description: partial 16S ribosomal RNA
Rfam family: Bacterial small subunit ribosomal RNA
Source: RNAcentral